RNAcentral lists this ribosomal RNA (404 nucleotides) under uncultured bacterium. RNAcentral describes it as "partial 16S ribosomal RNA". It matches the Rfam family "Bacterial small subunit ribosomal RNA", at positions 28 to 526 of the family's 1533-position model. The record is from RNAcentral.
GAUGAACGCUGACAGCAUGCUUAACACAUGCAAGUCAACUGUGGCGGACGGGUGAGUAACGCGUAAAGAAAUUGCCUAACAGAUAGGAACAACAUGUGGAAACGAAUGCUAAUACCGGAUACUGUGGGAGAGCUUUGCGUCCCAUUAGCUGGUUGGGGAGGUAACGGCUCACCAAGGAGAUGAUGGGUAGCCGGCCUGAGAGGGUGAUCGGCCACAAGGGGACUGGGUCACGGCCCUUACUCCUACGGGAGGCAGCGGGGGGGACGAUUGGACAAUGGACCAAAGUCUGAUCAAGCAAUUAUGUGUGCACGAUGAAGUUUUCGGAAUGUAAAGUGCUUUCAGUUGGGACGCGGUACCAACAGAAGAAGUGACGGCUAAAUACGUGCCAGCAGCCGCGGUAAUAC